UACGUAGGUGGCAAGCGUUAUCCGGAUUUAUUGGGUGUAAAGGGCGUGUAGGCGGGAGCGCAAGUCAGAUGUGAAAACUCAGGGCUCAACCCUGAGCCUGCAUUUGAAACUGUGUUUCUUGAGUGCUGGAGAGGCAAUCGGAAUUCCGUGUGUAGCGGUGAAAUGCGUAGAUAUAUGGAGGAACACCGGUGGCGAAAGCGGCUUACUGGACUGUAACUGACGUUGAGGCUCGAAAGCGUGGGGAGCAAACAGG
Molecule: ribosomal RNA, 253 nt
Filed under: uncultured bacterium
Lineage: Bacteria
Description: partial 16S ribosomal RNA
Rfam family: Bacterial small subunit ribosomal RNA
Source: RNAcentral